Penaeus vannamei (Pacific white shrimp) is the source of this 248-nucleotide non-coding RNA. The record is from RefSeq and is a predicted model, not a curated record. Lineage: Eukaryota; Metazoa; Arthropoda; Malacostraca; Decapoda; Penaeidae.
AGUUCUACGCGGGCGUGGUCGAGUGGCACGAUGACAAGUACUUCAAGCUGGUGUCCUCGGGUGGGCCAAGCGGAGCCAGGCUGGGACGUCGAGUUCGAGUUCAAGUCGACUACGCCGGGCGCCCAAACCUUCAGUCAUAGCGCGGUCAUGAAUGGGGCAGACACGUGUGGUGGCGGCGGCGUGGUGACCCAACCCCCCAUGGAAAGCCCCUGUGACCCACAGGCAUGACACCCUAUGACUACGGACAG